RNAcentral lists this long non-coding RNA (515 nucleotides) under Mytilus galloprovincialis (Mediterranean mussel). The record is from RNAcentral. Lineage: Eukaryota; Metazoa; Mollusca; Bivalvia; Mytilida; Mytilidae.
AUGAUAAGUAAUUAGAUAAUGUUAUUCUUGCACCUACAUUUGAAUAAUAAUAAUACAUUGACAAAAAAUUUGGGCAAACGCAACUUGAGAUUCUUAGCGUGAAAAUAAUCUUUGGAGGAGUGGGGGGGGGGGCGAUUUUCAGAUCAUACAACAAUGUAUACGUUUGGGAGAAUUUGUAUGCUUAAGAAUUUAAAAGAAUAACCUGUGCAGUGUAUUGCUGGAAUAGAUGUUUACAGUAAGCGUACAAUAUCUUUAAAUGUAUAUACGUAUUCACUAUAUUGGUAUAAAAGAUUCAUUAUUCUUAGCAUAAAGACAACAAAAUUCAACGUAACAGAUUCUUCGAACAUUCUGUUGCAAGGAUAAUUUAAUAAUACUACAUACAUUUGCAAAAACAACGGGAAAAAGUAAAUUUUAGGAAGUGACAAUGUUUACAUUCCAGGAAGAAGGCUUUUUGUAACUGUUUGCAUAUUUUUCAAUGUCUAGCGAAUACAUCUUUGUAAGGGAGAGUCUACCAU